UUAAGCGACUAAGCGUACACGGUGGAUGCCCUGGCAGUCAGAGGCGAUGAAGGACGUGCUAAUCUGCGAUAAGCGUCGGUAAGGUGAUAUGAACCGUUAUAACCGGCGAUUUCCGAAUGGGGAAACCCAGUGUGAUUCGUCACACUAUCAUUAACUGAAUCCAUAGGUUAAUGAGGCGAACCGGGGGAACUGAAACAUCUAAGUACCCCGAGGAAAAGAAAUCAACCGAGAUUCCCCCAGUAGCGGCGAGCGAACGGGGAGGAGCCCAGAGCCUGAAUCAGUGUGUGUGUUAGUGGAAGCGUCUGGAAAGGCGCGCGAUACAGGGUGACAGCCCCGUACACAAAAAUGCACAUACUGUGAGCUCGAUGAGUAGGGCGGGACACGUGGUAUCCUGUCUGAAUAUGGGGGGACCAUCCUCCAAGGCUAAAUACUCCUGACUGACCGAUAGUGAACCAGUACCGUGAGGGAAAGGCGAAAAGAACCCCGGCGAGGGGAGUGAAAAAGAACCUGAAACCGUGUACGUACAAGCAGUGGGAGCCUCUUUUAUUGUGUGACUGCGUACCUUUUGUAUAAUGGGUCAGCGACUUAUAUUCUGUAGCAAGGUUAACCGAAUAGGGGAGCCGAAGGGAAACCGAGUCUUAACCGGGCGUUAAGUUGCAGGGUAUAGACCCGAAACCCGGUGAUCUAGCCAUGGGCAGGUUGAAGGUUGGGUAACACUAACUGGAGGACCGAACCGACUAAUGUUGAAAAAUUAGCGGAUGACUUGUGGCUGGGGGUGAAAGGCCAAUCAAACCGGGAGAUAGCUGGUUCUCCCCGAAAGCUAUUUAGGUAGCGCCUCGUGAAUUCAUCUCCGGGGGUAGAGCACUGUUUCGGCAAGGGGGUCAUCCCGACUUACCAACCCGAUGCAAACUGCGAAUACCGGAGAAUGUUAUCACGGGAGACACACGGCGGGUGCUAACGUCCGUCGUGAAGAGGGAAACAACCCAGACCGCCAGCUAAGGUCCCAAAGUCAUGGUUAAGUGGGAAACGAUGUGGGAAGGCCCAGACAGCCAGGAUGUUGGCUUAGAAGCAGCCAUCAUUUAAAGAAAGCGUAAUAGCUCACUGGUCGAGUCGGCCUGCGCGGAAGAUGUAACGGGGCUAAACCAUGCACCGAAGCUGCGGCAGCGACACUGUGUGUUGUUGGGUAGGGGAGCGUUCUGUAAGCCUGUGAAGGUGUACUGUGAGGUAUGCUGGAGGUAUCAGAAGUGCGAAUGCUGACAUAAGUAACGAUAAAGCGGGUGAAAAGCCCGCUCGCCGGAAGACCAAGGGUUCCUGUCCAACGUUAAUCGGGGCAGGGUGAGUCGACCCCUAAGGCGAGGCCGAAAGGCGUAGUCGAUGGGAAACAGGUUAAUAUUCCUGUACUUGGUGUUACUGCGAAGGGGGGACGGAGAAGGCUAUGUUGGCCGGGCGACGGUUGUCCCGGUUUAAGCGUGUAGGCUGGUUUUCCAGGCAAAUCCGGAAAAUCAAGGCUGAGGCGUGAUGACGAGGCACUACGGUGCUGAAGCAACAAAUGCCCUGCUUCCAGGAAAAGCCUCUAAGCAUCAGGUAACAUCAAAUCGUACCCCAAACCGACACAGGUGGUCAGGUAGAGAAUACCAAGGCGCUUGAGAGAACUCGGGUGAAGGAACUAGGCAAAAUGGUGCCGUAACUUCGGGAGAAGGCACGCUGAUAUGUAGGUGAAGUCCCUCGCGGAUGGAGCUGAAAUCAGUCGAAGAUACCAGCUGGCUGCAACUGUUUAUUAAAAACACAGCACUGUGCAAACACGAAAGUGGACGUAUACGGUGUGACGCCUGCCCGGUGCCGGAAGGUUAAUUGAUGGGGUCAGCGCAAGCGAAGCUCUUGAUCGAAGCCCCGGUAAACGGCGGCCGUAACUAUAACGGUCCUAAGGUAGCGAAAUUCCUUGUCGGGUGAGUUCCGACCUGCACGAAUGGCGUAAUGAUGGCCAGGCUGUCUCCACCCGAGACUCAGUGAAAUUGAACUCGCUGUGAAGAUGCAGUGUACCCGCGGCAAGACGGAAAGACCCCGUGAACCUUUACUAUAGCUUGACACUGAACAUUGAGCCUUGAUGUGUAGGAUAGGUGGGAGGCUUUGAAGUGUGGACGCCAGUCUGCAUGGAGCCGACCUUGAAAUACCACCCUUUAAUGUUUGAUGUUCUAACGUGGACCCGUGAUCCGGGUUGCGGACAGUGUCUGGUGGGUAGUUUGACUGGGGCGGUCUCCUCCUAAAGAGUAACGGAGGAGCACGAAGGUUGGCUAAUCCUGGUCGGACAUCAGGAGGUUAGUGCAAUGGCAUAAGCCAGCUUGACUGCGAGCGUGACGGCGCGAGCAGGUGCGAAAGCAGGUCAUAGUGAUCCGGUGGUUCUGAAUGGAAGGGCCAUCGCUCAACGGAUAAAAGGUACUCCGGGGAUAACAGGCUGAUACCGCCCAAGAGUUCAUAUCGACGGCGGUGUUUGGCACCUCGAUGUCGGCUCAUCACAUCCUGGGGCUGAAGUAGGUCCCAAGGGUAUGGCUGUUCGCCAUUUAAAGUGGUACGCGAGCUGGGUUUAGAACGUCGUGAGACAGUUCGGUCCCUAUCUGCCGUGGGCGCUGGAGAACUGAGGGGGGCUGCUCCUAGUACGAGAGGACCGGAGUGGACGCAUCACUGGUGUUCGGGUUGUCAUGCCAAUGGCACUGCCCGGUAGCUAAAUGCGGAAGAGAUAAGUGCUGAAAGCAUCUAAGCACGAAACUUGCCCCGAGAUGAGUUCUCCCUGACCCUUUAAGGGUCCUGAAGGAACGUUGAAGACGACGACGUUGAUAGGCCGGGUGUGUAAGCGCAGCGAUGCGUUGAGCUAACCGGUACUAAUGAACCGUGAGGCUUAACCUU
Molecule: ribosomal RNA, 2901 nt
Filed under: Escherichia coli B107
Lineage: Bacteria; Pseudomonadati; Pseudomonadota; Gammaproteobacteria; Enterobacterales; Enterobacteriaceae
Description: bacterial LSU rRNA
Rfam family: Bacterial large subunit ribosomal RNA
Source: RNAcentral